RNAcentral lists this ribosomal RNA (495 nucleotides) under uncultured bacterium. Its description in RNAcentral is "partial 16S ribosomal RNA". It matches the Rfam family "Bacterial small subunit ribosomal RNA", at positions 28 to 507 of the family's 1533-position model. The record is from RNAcentral.
GACGAACGCUGGCGGCGUGCCUAAUACAUGCAAGUAGAACGCUGAAGGAGGAGCUUGCUUCUCUGGAUGAGUUGCGAACGGGUGAGUAACGCGUAGGUAACCUGCCUGGUAGCGGGGGAUAACUCUUGGAAACGAUAGCUAAUACCGCAUAAGAGUAGAUGUUGCAUGACAUUUGCUUAAAAGUUGCAAUUGCAUCACUACCAGAUGGCCCUGCGUUGUAUUAGCUAGUUGGUGGGGUAACGGCUCACCAAGGCGACGAUACAUAGCCGACCUGAGAGGGUGAUCGGCCACACUGGGACGGAGACACGGCCCAGACGCCUACGGGAGGCAGCAGUAGGGAAUCUUAGGCAAUGGACGGAAGUCUGACCGAGCAACGCCGCGUGAGUGAAGAAGGUUUUCGGAUCGUAAAGCUCUGUUGUAAGAGAAGAACGAGUGUGAGAGUGGAAAGUUCACACUGUGACGGUAGCUUACCAGAAAGGGACGGCUAACUACGUG